AACGCUAGCUACAGGCUUAACACAUGCAAGUCGAGGGGUAGCAGGGUAGCAAUACCGCUGACGACCGGCGCACGGGUGAGUAACACGUAUCCAACCUACCAUUCACACGGGGAUAGGCUUUCGAAAGAAAGAUUAAUACCCGAUAGUAUGAUUGAAUCGCAUGAUUUGAUUAUUAAAGAAUUUUGGUGUUUGAUGGGGAUGCGUUCCAUUAGAUUGUUGGUGAGGUAACGGCUCACCAAGUCUUCGAUGGAUAGGGGUUCUGAGAGGAAGGUCCCCCACACUGGAACUGAGACACGGUCCAGACUCCUACGGGAGGCAGCAGUGAGGAAUAUUGGUCAAUGGGCGGUAGCCUGAACCAGCCAAGUAGCGUGAAGGACGAAGGCCCUAUGGGUCGUAAACUUCUUUUAUAGGGGAAUAAAGUCCGAUACGUGUAUCGGUUUGUAUGUACCCUACGAAUAAGGAUCGGCUAACUCCGUGCCAGCAGCCGCGGUAAUACGGAGGAUCCAAGCGUUAUCCGGAUUUAUUGGGUUUAAAGGGAGCGUAGGUGGGCGUAUAAGUCAGUUGUGAAAGUUUGCGGCUCAACCGUAAAAUUGCAGUUGAUACUGUAUGUCUUGAGUGUACAAGAGGUGGGCGGAAUUCGUGGCGUAGCGGUGAAAUGCUUAGAUAUCACGAAGAACUCCGAUUG
Molecule: ribosomal RNA, 685 nt
Filed under: uncultured bacterium
Lineage: Bacteria
Description: bacterial SSU rRNA
Rfam family: Bacterial small subunit ribosomal RNA
Source: RNAcentral